UCAUUGUUGUGGGCAGAUGUUAUGCGCC
RNAcentral lists this non-coding RNA (28 nucleotides) under Bombyx mori (domestic silkworm). Lineage: Eukaryota; Metazoa; Arthropoda; Insecta; Lepidoptera; Bombycidae. The record is from RNAcentral.